CUCUCCAGAAUCCUCAAAUCUAAUCCUUGAAUUCAUACUGCUGCUUCCAUCGUCUCCGCUGCCGUUACCCAAAUGAUAAAUGUCUCCGGAAUUCCACCGGUUCCCUCCCAUAACAGGAGGUUCCCUUCUUGGAUCCAUGCCCUCCUCCAUUCCCUUCAAUGAAUCCCUAAAUCCCGUUUUGUUGCACAGGAGCUGGGGCGGAAACAGAACCCAAAAAAU
RNAcentral lists this long non-coding RNA (219 nucleotides) under Physcomitrium patens. Its description in RNAcentral is "long non-coding RNA (PPAT_LNC012568)". Lineage: Eukaryota; Viridiplantae; Streptophyta; Bryopsida; Funariales; Funariaceae. The record is from RNAcentral.